Long non-coding RNA from Drosophila mojavensis, 1434 nucleotides. RefSeq lists it as uncharacterized. NCBI's taxonomy places the organism in Eukaryota, Metazoa, Arthropoda, Insecta, Diptera, Drosophilidae. The record is from RefSeq and is a predicted model, not a curated record. The transcript has 3 exons.
UUUAUUUCUAUUAAUUCACUGAAAGACACCAAAAAUACUUUUACUGUCUGCGUAUUGGGGAUGGCACGAUUGCUAUGUUAUGAUUAUAUGAUAAUCGAUUAUUUGGCUUCAAACGAUAAUUGAAUUCUAUCGCAAAAGAGAGUGCGAUUAGACAUUAAUCAAUUACGUGCACAGAUAAAUAAUUAAUUAAGCAUAUGUAGAACGUAUAAAGUGCAUAUCGAAUACAUUUUAUCAUGCACUCGUUUCAUACAUCAGAGUCCUUUGAUUUAUUGUGCUAGAGUGGGACAACGAAACUGCAGAGCUGUUAAACUGUUAAAGGCAUGGCACUGUUAACAAUGUAGUGUUGGCAAUGUUAGCAGCGGACAAUGUUAACCUCUACCGCUCCUCUACCACUAGCCCCUCUAUCGCAUUGGUAUAUGAAACAUCUGGAACUGAAACACAAUGCUGUUAACAGAAAAUAGAAUCAGGGAACAUUUUUGUACCCUUCACCUUAUUUAUAAAAAAUGUUAUAUAUAACAUAGCAGCUAGUCAGAGCAAAGCCCUCCACAGCUUUGUGCAUAAAGCGAGAAUCCAACCAGUUUGCAGCUUUGCAAAGAAGUAACUGUAUUCAAGCCAUUCGAAUGGCCGAUUCAAACGGUUUUUUCCGCGCUUUUCGGACUAUGUGAUAUAAAAACUGUAAGGAUACAGGCGUGGCAGGCUUUCAGCAAUCCAUUCAUUGUAGCUCAGGAUAAACCUUGUUUUUACCUUCGUCCAUGUUUGCAAUAUCAAUUGUAGUACUAUCAUGCUCCAAAUAAUGCUCCAUUGGAAAAAUAUUGUAUUUGCAUGGCUCUUAAGAGGAACGCUGACCAGUGAUGCAUUCUGAAGCCUCAACUCCAUCGACUCCAGCUACGUGCACCAGCUUCGUCUCGUCUGAAAUUUGAGUAGAAUCAAACCAGAUAAAACUCAUCCUUAACAUCUUGUUUAUUCAUUCUCUCAAACUAUGUCUUUGUUCGUAUUUCAAUUUUGUUGUUAUCUCCAAAUAUGUCCCUCACUUAUAUAAUACACAUAUGUGUUACAUAUAUUGCGUAUUAAAUUUGAGUAAAAUGAAUCCCUUUGUUGACAUCUCAACAAAUUUAAGCCCUAUGCAUAUUUCAGCUGCAUUGCUUUUAUCCAUAUUAAUAUUUGAAUGCAUUUCAAUGGAAACAUAUUUGAAGUCUUUUGAGGUAAAACAUUAAUUACACCUCUGCAAGAGAGACAUUUUGUUUAUGUUUCUAUUGCAGUUCCUAUUUCGCUCGAGAUUAAUCAAAAUUCGGUCCUGACAUCACUCACUGAAAUUUCAGCUUUGAUGUAUGCCAGUUGCUGUAAAUAUUGCAUAGUACAAGCAGCUAUUGAAUCAACUUUUAAAUUGACUGUGUGAGUUUGCAUGUGUAUAUACAUAUAUAUAUGUGUGUGUGU